GAGCCACGCUUCCUAGGUUGGGUUUCCUGCCCUGUCGGUGCUGAGGAGCCACGCACACCGCACGGCUCCCCGUGGUGCUGAAGAGGGGACGGGGCCGAGGAGCUGCUCCAGUGCACCCAUUGCUGACUUCUCCAGGUGUUAUCGCAGCCAGCCCUUAGCGGACGAACGGUGGGGCAGGAAGCAAGCUAAAGCCUAAUGAGGCCGAUGUUCUUCCCAAGGCAGAGUGAUACUAAUGGAGCUGGAGAAGCUGCCUUGAAAUUACUACAGGCUGACACCUCGUUAGAGUCAGGAAGAUGAAGAACGGCGCAUUUUGGGGAGGAAAGAAGUCCUAUGGGCAGAGCUCGCACAAGACUGAAAGUAGCUGGAGGGCUGGCUUCUGAUUACGGUAUCAAUUUCUCUCCUGUUCACGGCCUAACUGAGUUUGAUGAAUGGCUUUACUCUCCUUGUUUUACUGUCAUUUGGUACCUGGAAACUCAAGCUCGAAGGAAUCGUUCACCGGGUGCUCUGAAAGCACCAGGACACCAUCACCCCGUGCUGUUCCCGAGCAGGAUGUGCAAUAAACCUGGCCAGGGAGAUGGCAAGAGGCAAGGCAGCGUGCGUCAGGACACCGAAACGAGCUGGCUCCCUGAUCUCCUGAAUGCCGGGACGCCGCCUGCCUCUCUGCAGGCACCCAGAUGAACAGACCCAGCUUUUCGAAUUACAGCUCCCAGGGCAUGGGGCAGAGGGAGACGAAACCAAGCUAAGAUCCUUUCCCAUGGCAGAGAGGAGCCCAGACAAAGUGCUGUGCGUGCCAUGCAGAGGGGGAACAGCUUUUUUUAGUCUCUGUCAUGUGGUCCUCUUGCAGGAGUGACUUCCCCCGAGCAUCCUUCUUGGCUCCCUGCUCUGCCAUGCUCCUUGCCCUCUGCUCCCCGCACCCCUGUCUGGUGGCAGACGCAGCCUGGCCAUGCCUCGGAGAAAUCAGCUCCUCUCCAGGACUGCAUGCUCCUUUUGGAGAAGAAGAGGCCUGUGCUUAUUGCUCCCAGAAGAACCGUAAUAGCUAUUUACCCAUGGCAAGAAAAUGUUAUUUUUGGGCAAAAGGGAGCUGUAAUGUUUUCCUGUUACAGUAGUUGGCAGCAUUUCUCUAUAGCCCAAACCUAUCUUCCUUAAUGGGCUCUCUACUCGUUGCCGUAAGUUUACUAGAGGGAGAGAAGCAUACGAACAGUUUUGGAAUUCAACCAAAACAUCAUGGAAGUAAGGGAGCCUUAAACCCUGCGAGCCCAAUAGCGACGGAUGAAGGAACGGCCAAAUAGGAGCCAGAACCAGCAGCCUCAGCUGGGAGGCACUGGUGGCUGAGGGCAGUGACUGAUACAGGCGGUAAGGACGUCGCUCCUCUGGGUCCCUCCAGAUGUUUCAGCUUACUCCAUGUGAGCGAUGGCACGGGGAAAUGGGAACCAAAUGGGCUAGCCGAGACAGCCGCCUUCGGAGGCCGGCUUUGCUGAGCGAGCUGAUCAAAGACACCAAGGUGAAUUUCACGGAAUAAUCAUAGGGAGCAGUAAGAAAGGCACGGAGGAAUGUUUGCAUCCCAUCCCAAGGCAGCUGCCGGCAAACCCCCCAUGGCUUUUGGGGUUUGCGAGGUGCCUCAGGAGCUCAUUUUGGGUUCACAGCCUGUGUUGGGCAGUUGAAGUCGAUGCUGCUGCCAGAAGGACCAGUCUCGCACCCACCACGUCUCCUUGGGCCUGGCAUCUCUCCUGGCAUUGAUGUGGCCACUCAGACAGCCACACCAGCAAGCUGAAGGUCCUGCAGAUUCACCCUACAGAAUUGAGAAUGAGGAGGGAGGAUUGCAGCCGGCUGGGGGAGCUGCCUCCUGGCAGGAGCCCAGGGUAGGUCAGCUUAGGCCAGUUGGGAAACUGCAGAUUCACCCAGCUUCGCUCUCAGGAAGCAGCCCGAGAGCUUCCCAGGGGCCCGUGGCCCGGUGUGGGUGCAGUAACCAGCAGCAUCUUCGCUCCUAGAACGAAAGAGGGCAGCCACACCGGGCCUUGCACCAUUUCGAGCCAGGGAGGACGCAAAUUAACCUUUAUGGCUUGCCUUUAAAAUAAUGGCACGAGGGUUUGGAUAGCGUUUCGGUAGUGCUGCAGCAGUAAUGAUGUCAGGCUAUAAGCAAGGCAGAAUUUAUAGGAAGAGAUAAGGCCUUUUAAUAGAGCAGCUGGCCGAGCUGCAGCAAGCAGACACACCAGCCCUCCUUCAGGAGCCUGUUUCAGAUGGGUAGAGCUCGUGUGUGUCUGGGGAAGCAUGCUUUCCCUUUGAGACGGGCUGGUUUAAUAAACCCCUUUUCUACCAGCCUCGCUCCACUCCUGGUUCAAGUGGGCUCUUCAGGCCAAAGCUGAAUACAAGCUCAUUGAAGCGGGUGUCCCUGAUCCUGGAAAUUGAGUUCUCACCCCUGAACCAUUAACUUGUAGGUCCACGUUUGUAAAUACACAGCAGAGGCAGGACAUGCUGAAGCCAGAUAUGCAAUGAAUUAAGUCUUUUCUCAUCUCCCCCCAUGCCAGGCAUGGCCACACACCACCUAGUGAGGUGACACAGAGCGCUGGGUUACGUAUCCUGCACAUGGAGCUUGCAUUUAUCCUACAAGCCCUGCAAGGACACCUCCUGGAGAAGCAGGCAAGUUAUUUCCAAAGUCAAACAAGUUAUUUGUUUUAAGGCAGCUCUCCGAAGGACAGGGCCUGUCCAAGCCAUUGCUGCUCAGUAAACUGAGGCACGUGCUGACCACCACCACAAUGGGAUAGACACGUGGAAAAGAAACCAGAUUUUCAGAAAAAAAAUCACUUAGCACAAGAGCAGUAACCUGGACGGGGCCCAUAAGGUAGCUCCUGCCUACGGUGCUUUCUGGCUACGGUGGCUGCUGUUGUAGAAGUCACUUUAUCGCCGUGUAACCGAAGGGAAAUGCAAACUUUGCCACUGAAAGCUGAAUUCCUUCCUCUGGCCAGGCUGCAGCCGCCGAGGAGCUGAGGAAUCCCCUGGCUUCUUCCUGCUCCGUGCUUCCUCGCCGUAGCUGCAGCCGGCGUUACAGGAAGCAAUGCAGAACACACACCCUCCUUUUGUGCUUUAUGAACCCUGCACUGGCAGCAAACACUUGUCCUUUGUCAGCGAGGAAAGCAGCUAGCAGGAGACACAGAAGAUUUAUAGGUGCAACAUCCCAGCGCCGCGCGCUCACAUCUACCCUCCCUCCAAUCCCAGCUCCUUUACAAGGAACCUUGCUGCUAAACCCCAAUGCCACGCCGAGGAUAUUUACCCCACAGGGAGCUGAUCAUCUGGGAGGUAACAAGGUGCCAUUUCCUCCUGGAUGUGGUGGCUGACGGCAACCACAUGCUAGUGCUGCAAUUUAGGGCCGCGCUGGAUGCCAGGCGUCUACGCAGCGCUUACCGGCGCGGUGAGGCCGUGCUGCCACGUGAGCUGGGGAGGCUCAGUUUGCUGUCAGGCUGAGAGUUUUCAAAUAAAAUAAAAUAAAUAAAUUAAUAAAUAAAUAAAUAAAGAUAAAGGAAAAAAAAUUAAGAUACCAAAAAUGGAA
Non-coding RNA from Anas platyrhynchos (mallard), 3544 nucleotides. Lineage: Eukaryota; Metazoa; Chordata; Aves; Anseriformes; Anatidae. The record is from RefSeq and is a predicted model, not a curated record.